AUAUGAUGUGAUGUUUCAGACCAACUUCAUAUGUGAGCAGUUGUAGCAGCUUCGAAGAUUUCUGUUCUGAGUAAAUAGUUUUUUUGCGCGCGGCAAUUUGUGGAUUAACGGCUGACCGCUUUUUUCUGGAAACUUAUUGACAACUUUUUGCAUAAUUCAGAUAGUUAUCCAGACCGUGAUUUUCCAACCGGAGGGCGAUUUGUCGCGCAAGAAGGAUGUUAAUAACUCAAAGUUGAAGCAGGGAGUUGUCAUGUUUGAAAGAGUUGACGGGUGAGGAAAAGGAGGAUCUUUUUCUGCCAUCUGUCUCAAAGAGAGGACUGUCUCAUGUCCACGGAGACUGUCUUGCCUCCGGAAGGGCCUAGCGGGCCCGGGACCGACCCUCAACAAGAGAGGAGUCCACUUCUAUCCAACUCUCACGAUGAAUGUGACACUGAAUCAUCAGGAACGACAAACACUUCUAGAACUUCAUCUCCCAGAGACCCAUGUGCUGAAGGACAAGAUCACAUGACUGGAGAGUGCCCUUCCUAUUGUGACCCAGUAAGAAGU
This is a long non-coding RNA of Osmerus eperlanus (European smelt), 546 nucleotides long. RefSeq lists it as uncharacterized. The transcript has 3 exons. NCBI's taxonomy places the organism in Eukaryota, Metazoa, Chordata, Actinopteri, Osmeriformes, Osmeridae. The record is from RefSeq and is a predicted model, not a curated record.